GUGAAAAAGAGAAUGCUUCUUACUUCCCUUCCUCAUCUUUCUUCUUCUAUCUCUGCUCAUAAGAUGCGAAAACAGUGCUUAUGAUCCCAUUUUGCCUACGGAGGAAGGCCAGAUACACACAAUUUCAUUCCAGGCCAGGUUAAGAUCAUGGCAAGUGUAGAUGCUCUUAUUUCUCCACUGGUAGAUCGAGUGUUGACAAUCCUCACCAGCCAAGCUCAAUAUGUACUUGGUUUUAGCUAUCAGUUCAAGGC
RNAcentral lists this unclassified non-coding RNA (251 nucleotides) under Hevea brasiliensis (rubber tree). The record is from RNAcentral. Lineage: Eukaryota; Viridiplantae; Streptophyta; Magnoliopsida; Malpighiales; Euphorbiaceae.